This is a long non-coding RNA of Clupea harengus (Atlantic herring), 1067 nucleotides long. The record is from Ensembl. NCBI's taxonomy places the organism in Eukaryota, Metazoa, Chordata, Actinopteri, Clupeiformes, Clupeidae.
GGCCAUGACAGAAUGAGCAGUCUCCUCUUCGUCCCUGGAGGAAAGGUCAGAUUGGCAUAUGGUUAAGCGCGUUUGUGAUGAGUGCUGGUGAUCCUGUAGAGAUGUAUGGAGUCAGGAGAGGGGGGUAGGAGGCUAUCUAUCCCCUGUAUCCCAGGCCCAAUCCUCCCAGCAGUGACGGCUCCAUCUGUCAUCUUACACCAUAUGGAAAGUAUGGAAGCUUCUAGAACCCACCGCCCCACUCACCCCUCCCCAGAGAGUACCUGGAGCUUGAAGCUGUGACGACCCAAAAUAAAACUGGCAUGUGAUGCCACAACCACAUUGGCGAUAUCCUCAGGGCUUUGGCUGGCAGGGGCACAAUGCUGUUCUGAAUGACUCGGGGGUUUGGGGUUUGUACUUGUCAGAGUGCUGACAGAUAGCUAGAGAUCUGACCCACAACGUCAUUCUCAAGUCAAGAAGAGACAACGAUGAAUUCUCAUCGAACUUGCAGAUUUAAUUAAUUGUAUGCUUCAGAUGCCAUUUAAUGUCUGCUGCACGCUGCUGCUUUCGUAAGCCUGACUGCUGGCUAGUUUGCUCCACAAUUUAAGUUUUUUCUUCUGUUAGAUUCUAAGUAGAAAGUGUAUUUGUUCUAAAUAUGCUAAAUAUUUGAAGAGAUCUUGACAAAAUGUAAAACUCUUUGCAGAUGGGUACAGCUGUGAGUGCAUGUUUUGUGUUACCAUGAGGCUUAUGUUCAUGACUUCGAUCAAAUGUGUAAAUAAGAAGGAAUGGAAUCACUGGAUGUACUGCUUGUCAUGCUUAUAAGUUGCAUUGACUUGUGGGAGGAAACAUGCAAGGUGUGUUUCUUUGAAAGCACUAAAAAAGGAAGAUGAAGGGUUGAGGGUUAUUCCUAGCAAUCUUGAAUAUGCAGGAAAAGUAAUUAGUAAGGUAAUGAGUAAGAAACUAAGGUUAUUGGUUGCAGGUGUUAGGCCUGGCUGGUCUUUGAAGUUAAUUGUUUUAUAAUUUAAUAUGGCUGUAUAAAAAGGUGCAUUUUCAAAAGGCUACAUGAGUGCAGUCAUUCAUUCGAAUUCACA